UACGGAGGGUGCAAGCGUUAUCCGGAUUCACUGGGUUUAAAGGGUGCGUAGGUGGGCAGGUAAGUCCGUGGUGAAAUCUCUGAGCUUAACUCAGAAACUGCCGUGGAUACUAUUUGUCUUGAAUGUUGUGGAGGUGAGCGGAAUAUGUCAUGUAGCGGUGAAAUGCUUAGAUAUGACAUAGAACACCAAUUGCGAAGGCAGCUCACUAACACAAUUAUUGAUGCUGAGGCACGAAAGCGUGGGGAUCAAACAGG
Molecule: ribosomal RNA, 254 nt
Filed under: uncultured bacterium
Lineage: Bacteria
Description: partial 16S ribosomal RNA
Rfam family: Bacterial small subunit ribosomal RNA
Source: RNAcentral